This 253-nucleotide ribosomal RNA is filed under the name uncultured bacterium. RNAcentral's name for it is "partial 16S ribosomal RNA". It matches the Rfam family "Bacterial small subunit ribosomal RNA", at positions 524 to 776 of the family's 1533-position model. The record is from RNAcentral.
UACAGAGGGGGCAAGCGUUAUUCGGAAUUAUUGGGCGUAAAGGGCGCGUAGGCGGUUUGUCGCGUCGGGAGUGAAAACCAGAGGCUUAACUUCUGGCUUGCUUUCGAUACGGGCAGACUUGAGGCAUGCAGGGGAGAACGGAAUUCCUGGUGUAGCGGUGAAAUGCGCAGAUAUCAGGAGGAACACCGGUGGCGAAGGCGGUUCUCUGGGCAUGUUCUGACGCUGAGGAGCGAAAGUGUGGGGAGCGAACAGG